CCUACGGGCGGCUGCAGUGAGGAAUAUUGGUCAAUGGACGCAACUCUGAACCAGCCAAGUCGCGUGCAGGAAGACGGCUCUAUGAGUUGUAAACUGCUUUUGUACGGGGGUAAACUCAGUCACGUGUGUCUUUUUGCAAGUACCGCAUGAAUAAGGACCGGCUAAUUCCGUGCCAGCAGCCGCGGUAAUACGGAGGGUUCAAGCGUUAUCCGGAUUUAUUGGGUUUAAAGGGUGCGUAGGCGGUCUCUUAAGUGAGAGGUGAAAUCCCGAGGCUCAACUGCGGAACUGCAGCGGGUACUGUGCGGCUAGAGAGUAGUGGCGGUAGGCGGAAUGUGUGGUGUAGCGGUGAAAUGCUUAGAUAUCAUACAGAACACCGAUUGCGAAGGCAGCUUACC
RNAcentral lists this ribosomal RNA (395 nucleotides) under uncultured bacterium. RNAcentral's name for it is "partial 16S ribosomal RNA". It matches the Rfam family "Bacterial small subunit ribosomal RNA", at positions 338 to 730 of the family's 1533-position model. The record is from RNAcentral.